AAUGGAGGAAACUCUGACGCAGCCAUGCCGCAUGAGUGAAGAAGGCCCUAGGGUUGUAAAGCUCUUUCAGAUGCGAAGAUAAUGACGGUAACAUCAGAAGAAGCUCCGGCUAAAUUCGUGCCAGCAGCCGCGGUAAUACGAAUGGAGCGAGCGUUGUUCGGAAUCACUGGGCGUAAAGCGUAUGUAGGCGGAUAAGAAAGUCAGAAGUGAAAUCCCAGGGCUUAACCCUGGAACUGCUUUUGAAACUUCUUGUCUAGAGUCCCGGAGGGGUUGGCGGAAUUCCGAGUGUAGAGGUGAAAUUCGCAGAUAUUCGGAGGAACACCAGUGGCGUAGGCGGCCAACUGGACGGGAACUGACGCUGAGAUACGAAAGCGUGGGGAGCAAACUGGAUU
This 392-nucleotide ribosomal RNA is filed under the name uncultured Alphaproteobacteria bacterium. RNAcentral describes it as "bacterial SSU rRNA". It matches the Rfam family "Bacterial small subunit ribosomal RNA", at positions 370 to 779 of the family's 1533-position model. Lineage: Bacteria; Pseudomonadati; Pseudomonadota; Alphaproteobacteria. The record is from RNAcentral.